Long non-coding RNA from Scatophagus argus, 1643 nucleotides. RefSeq lists it as uncharacterized. The transcript has 2 exons. The record is from RefSeq and is a predicted model, not a curated record. NCBI's taxonomy places the organism in Eukaryota, Metazoa, Chordata, Actinopteri, Scatophagidae.
GUGAUCUCUAAUUUUCUCCGGCUGUGAGGAAGUCACACAGAGUUGUGUUGUUGCACUCUCCUCCCAUCCCUCCCGUUUGGCUUGCUCCUCCUCCUCCUCCUCCUUCGGUUCGGAACAGGCAGAAAGAGUACGUGAGGACACACUGAGCCGCAUGCUGUUCUUGUUUGCGUUUCCCAGAUCGCCCUGCUGCUCGGCCUCCCCUCAUCACCUCAUCCGCGCUGUCAGAUCGUACAGUUAUCUCUCAGACAUCCCACACGGCCACAGUCACACACACACAGGCGAGGCAGUUAUGUUACAUUUUCCACAGUGUAGCUGCUGCUCUGCGGUGUAUCAAAGAGCUCCACAUUGGGCUUUAAGUCGAUGUACUUGUUCCGUUUAAAGUUAAACUGUUGCCCCGAGGGACCUGAGUGAUUUGCAUGAGGACUUGAACGCAGCUGAAGAGGUCAGCCCAGCACGGGGAAAUUAACAGGUCGGUUAAUGAAAUGUUGAUUACUGCAUUUUUAUCUCAAAGAAAAUGAGAUGAAAUGAGAGGGAGAGAGAGAGAGAGAGAGAGAUGUGUGGCCAUCACAAGAGUGAAACCUUUUCAUCAGAGAUUUAUCAAUCACAUCACAAGACGCACUGAAGCGCCAAAGAUGCGCUGAACAGCAGCUGGAAACUGAAAUCCCUCUGAGACGAUCUUGUGAUCUGGUCCGACAACAGGAUCCUCCUCUGCAACAAUGCUGCCCCCUUGUGCAUCUGCUCUGAACCACCACCGCUUUCACGUUUCUAAAGGUCGCUGUUGGGCAACGGACAGAGGAGAAGAAUACAACUGGCACACUCGUGAACUUCAUGAAUAUUUUAAAACUUUAAUAUACAGUGCUUCAUAAAUCAUUACUAAAAACACAGGUGGUAAAAAUCAAAUCAAAAACAAAUAAGUUACACUGUAGUAAAAAGCACUUGAGAUUCCGUUCUGUUUCGUCAUUAGUGUGAACCCCAUAUGAAAAUAGCAUAGAAAGUAUGCAAACAUAGAAUUUCAUUCAUAUAUAUUUUCUAAUCUUUAGCUAAAUAAACCUUUUGCCCCCUUUAAAAUUCCCUUAGCCAACUGGAUGAGAUGAGGAGAAUUUACAGCUGCGUGUUUGCCGUGGCCUCGAUUUCAUCUGAUUCUUCUUCUUUUAAAAACAGCUUGAAAACCUUUACGUGGACGACAACUUUGCCCUCCAACCUCGUGAGAACCUCAGGACAAGCUCAAAUAAAAAGGAAAUAUAAAUUAACAUACCAAACGUGAACAGUCUGCAAAAACUUGUUUUUUUCCCUCCCAUUGACUGGCGUACAGUUUAACAUUAGACUUCAAAGCACUCUCACACACACUUUUAACAGUAUGUCUGCGCGCACACACACACACACACACACACACACGCAUACAAACAGUCUGUGCAUAGACCCAGGAUUAUCUUGUGGAGUAACUGGUAAUUGGAGCCGUUUCUUUCCCGCUCCCCCCAACUCCCCACUGUGGUUUGUCCUUUAAAGGAAAAUAACCCUUUAACCCAUUUGUUGCAAAGGCAACAGAAGCUGGCUCAGGGCCGAAGGGCUUAGCAGAGAGAUAUGUAGAGAUAAACAUGCUGUUUCCACAGCCCAACUCAGUGCCUGCUACAAGCAACAAGGUA